Molecule: ribosomal RNA, 793 nt
Filed under: uncultured archaeon
Lineage: Archaea
Description: bacterial SSU rRNA
Rfam family: Archaeal small subunit ribosomal RNA
Source: RNAcentral
ACUGCUCAGUAACACGUGGACAACUUACCCAAGAGUCCGGGAUAACCCCGGGAAACUGGGGAUAAUACCGGAUAGAUCAUCUGUGCUGGAAGGCUGGGUGGUUGAAACUUCCGGGGCUUUUGGAUGGGUCUGCGGCUGAUUAGGUUGUUGCCGGUGUAACGUACCGUCAAGCCUGUAAUCAGUACGGGUUGUGGGAGCAAGAGCCCGGAGAUGGAUUCUGAGACACGAAUCCAGGCCCUACGGGGCGCAGCAGGCGCGAAAACUCUACAAUGCAGGCAACUGCGAUAGGGGAACAUCGAGUGAUCCUCAUAUUGGGGGUCUGUCCACCCGUCUAAAAAACGGGUGUUAGCAAGGGCCGGGCAAGACCGGUGCCAGCCGCCGCGGUAAUACCGGCGGCUCGAGUGGUGGCCGAUAUUAUUGAGUCUAAAGGGUCCGUAGCCGGCUUUGCAAGUCUCUCGGGAAAUCCAGCGGCUUAACCGUUGGUCGUCCGGGGGGUACUACAUUGCUUGGGACUGGGAGAGGUAGGAGGUACUCAGGGGGUAGGAGUGAAAUCCUGUAAUCCUUUGGGGACCACCGGUGGCGAAGGCGUCCUACCAGAACAGGUCCGACGGUGAGGGACGAAAGCUAGGGGCACGAACCGGAUUAGAUACCCGGGUAGUCCUAGCCGUAAACGAUGCUCGCUAGGUGUCACAACAGUCGUGAAUUGUUGUGGUGCCGUAGGGAAGCCGUGAAGCGAGCCACUUGGGAAGUACGACCGCAAGGUUGAAACUUAAAGGAAUUGGCGGGGGAGCAC